GCCAGACUCCUACGGGAGGCAGCAGUGGGGAAUAUUGCACAAUGGGGGAAACCCUGAUGCAGCGACGCCGCGUGAGUGAAGAAGUAUCUCGGUACGUAAAGCUCUAUCAGCAGGGAAGAAAAUGACGGUACCUGACCAAGAAGCCCCGGCUAACUACGUGCCAGCAGCCGCGGUAAUACGUAGGGGGCAAGCGUUAUCCGGAUUCACUGGGCGUAAAGGGAGCGUAGACGGCGACGCAAGUCUGGAGUGAAAGCCCGGGGCCCAGCCCCGGGACUGCUCUGGAAACUGCGUCGCUGGAGUACGGGAGGGGCAGGCGGAAUUCCUGGUGUAGCGGUGAAAUGCGUAGAUAUCAGGAGGAACACCGGCGGCGAAGGCGGCCUGCUGGACCGUGACUGACGUUGAGGCUCGAGAGCGUGGGGAGCAAACAGGAUUAGAUACCCGCGUAGA
RNAcentral lists this ribosomal RNA (447 nucleotides) under uncultured bacterium. RNAcentral describes it as "bacterial SSU rRNA". It matches the Rfam family "Bacterial small subunit ribosomal RNA", at positions 330 to 794 of the family's 1533-position model. The record is from RNAcentral.